Molecule: small RNA, 1590 nt
Filed under: Histoplasma capsulatum var. duboisii H88
Lineage: Eukaryota; Fungi; Ascomycota; Eurotiomycetes; Onygenales; Ajellomycetaceae
Description: Histoplasma capsulatum H88 hypothetical RNA
Source: RNAcentral
CUGCAAGCGGCAUCUCUCUCAGACACCAAUAUCUGCCCAAGGAGUAGGAGUAUUUCCGUUGGGAAUUCGAUGAGGUACAUUUUGCCUCUCGCCUGAGUAAUUAGUUAUUAAUCCGUAUCAAAGGCUCCUUGAACUCGGCUUUUAUUAUUGUACGUCUUUUAAUCCCCCUCCCACGUUGGGGUGGACGUCUUGCCCACCAAUCAGGCGAGAGAGUGCUAAAACAACCGACUAUUUUUGGGAGUCAUGGCUAGCUCCUCAUAAAUUAUAAGGCUUGGAAUUUUGAAAACUAAAAAAACGAAAAUAUAGUAAAGAUCCCCUUCAUAAAAGCAUUACUUGAAACCAAUAAUUGCACGAAGUACAUAUUGGAAAAGUUCCGGCAUCUACUUGAAUGAAGCAGAAGAUAAAGAAAUGUGUUUCAAGAUUAUAAAAUAAUAAUAUAUCUUCUUAGAUUCAAAAGCCACCCAUUUAUUUAUUAACUUAUUUUGGAGAGAAGAGGUAAAAAAAAAUGAAGGAAAGUAAAAGGAUGAAUGCGUUGGUGUUGUGAUAUGAUAAAUAGUUUGUAUGGGCAAAGGAGAAAAGAAAGUGAAGUUUAUAAAAAUAAUUAACAAUGGAUACAUGAUUUUGGGGCAUACAUGACUUCUAGUGUAAAAGGUAAAUAGGAUGUGUUAAAAAAGCGUGGGCAGGGCCGUGAAUGAAAAAAAAAAAAAAGGAAAAAAGAAGAGGAAAUUGGAAGAACUGGGAAGUUAGGGGCGAAGAAAGGGGGAGUAAGAGAUUGCGAAUUUGAUGCGCGUCGUUUGUGCAUGCGUACAGGGGUGUAUGGGGAAUGUAGUAGGGAAUUCUUCCUGAAAACGUGAGUCAAUUGCAUCUGAUCGUGGGGUGCCGGGGAACAGGUGUGGGAUUGACGAGGAGGGGUACACGAAAGUGCUUGGAGGCAUACAGUAAGGGGGAAGGGUGAUUAUGAAGGUUGCGAGGGGCUUGCUCUGACAAGGGCGCGGGGCCGCGGUAUCAUUCAUAUCAGAACGUGUGAAAUGCUCAGGUCAGAUGUAAAAGUAUGCCGAAUCAUUGAAAAUGCCAGAGAUGCGAACUUCGCUGAGGGAGGGGGGGAAGAAAGGAGGGUUUAAAAAAGAAUAAAACAGAUUCCUGCUUCUUUUUCUCAAAAAUUUUUUCAAUUCGACUGCUAUCCAAUAUCCUAGCUGAGCUGGGAAAACUCGCACAGGCGUGGCGUGCCGUUCAUUCUUUUUCCGUCUUACCAUUUCGUGAAAGUGCUCCAGUCGUCGGCAUCGCUUCCUGUGCCUCGUCGAGCAGUUAUUUUGGUGAUAGAACGGGUAUUAACUGGACAACGCCCAAUGUGCGUAAUAUGGCGGAGUGCUUCGCACGGAUAAUACAUGUCACUUCCAUUAAAUGGUGCCUUAUGACAUAACUUGUGCCGUCGCAAGGCCUAUUUGGCGUUUGACCUGUUCACGAGCCCAUCUAGCUGUCUCAAUUGUGCGAGGACCAAAUUCUCUGUUUGUUCGCGUUUCCCGAAUCAAGUUGGAAACAAAAUCAUUGCGGAAGAGAGCCGCAAAUUCACCAUUGGGGAAUGUAUCAGCG